RNAcentral lists this ribosomal RNA (468 nucleotides) under uncultured bacterium. Its description in RNAcentral is "partial 16S ribosomal RNA". It matches the Rfam family "Bacterial small subunit ribosomal RNA", at positions 28 to 507 of the family's 1533-position model. The record is from RNAcentral.
GACGAACGCUGGCGGCGUGCUUAACACAUGCAAGUCGAACGGAAAGGCCCUGCUUUUGUGGGGUGCUCGAGUGGCGAACGGGUGAGUAACACGUGAGUAACCUGCCCUUGACUUUGGGAUAACUUCAGGAAACUGGGGCUAAUACCGGAUAGGAGCUCCUGCUGCCUGGUGGGGGUUGGAAAGUUUCGGCGGUUGGGGAUGGACUCGCGGCUUAUCAGCUUGUUGGUGGGGUAGUGGCUUACCAAGGCUUUGACGGGUAGCCGGCCUGAGAGGGUGACCGGCCACAUUGGGACUGAGAUACGGCCCAGACUCCUACGGGAGGCAGCAGUGGGGAAUAUUGCACAAUGGGCGGAAGCCUGAUGCAGCAACGCCGCGUGCGGGAUAACGGCCUUCGGGUUGUAAACCGCUUUCGCCUGUGACGAAGCGUGAGUGACGGUAAUGGGUAAAGAAGCACCGGCUAACUACGUG